Molecule: transfer RNA, 75 nt
Filed under: archaeon
Lineage: Archaea
Also listed under: 2 other names
Description: tRNA-Ile
Rfam family: tRNA
About the family: Transfer RNA (tRNA) molecules are approximately 80 nucleotides in length. Their secondary structure includes four short double-helical elements and three loops (D, anti-codon, and T loops). Further hydrogen bonds mediate the characteristic L-shaped molecular structure. tRNAs have two regions of fundamental functional importance: the anti-codon, which is responsible for specific mRNA codon recognition, and the 3' end, to which the tRNAs corresponding amino acid is attached (by aminoacyl-tRNA synthetases). tRNAs cope with the degeneracy of the genetic code in two manners: having more than one tRNA (with a specific anti-codon) for a particular amino acid; and 'wobble' base-pairing, i.e. permitting non-standard base-pairing at the 3rd anti-codon position.
Source: RNAcentral
GAGCCUAUAGCUCAGCCAGGUUAGAGCGCUGGUCUUAUAAGCCAGAGGUCCGGAGUUCAAAUCUCCGUAGGCUCA